AACCCAUGGUGAGGGCAUCCUCUCAAUAAAUCUUCGUAUCUCUCUCAUGCAUCAUAAAGUGUUUCUAAAUCCAUCUACAAAAAAAAAGAGAUAUCAUUCCUUAACUU
Molecule: non-coding RNA, 107 nt
Organism: Gossypium arboreum
Lineage: Eukaryota; Viridiplantae; Streptophyta; Magnoliopsida; Malvales; Malvaceae
Source: Rfam